CACGUAGGGCGCGAGCGUUGUCCGGAAUUAUUGGGCGUAAAGAGCUCGUAGGCGGCCUGUUGCGUCCGCUGUGAAAGCCCGGGGCUUAACCCCGGGUCGGCAGUGGAUACGGGCAGGCUAGAGGUAGGUAGGGGAGAAUGGAAUUCCCGGUGUAGCGGUGAAAUGCGCAGAUAUCGGGAGGAACACCGGUGGCGAAGGCGGUUCUCUGGGCCUUACCUGACGCUGAGGCGCGAAAGCUAGGGGAGCGAACAGG
This 253-nucleotide ribosomal RNA is filed under the name uncultured bacterium. RNAcentral's name for it is "partial 16S ribosomal RNA". It matches the Rfam family "Bacterial small subunit ribosomal RNA", at positions 524 to 776 of the family's 1533-position model. The record is from RNAcentral.